CCCCUCUCGAGACCGCACCUGGAGAGUUUCCAGUACUCUACCGGUCUCGGCUAUGAGAGGGAGAGUCAAGCAGAGGCCAACCCAUUCCAUUCCUAGCUUGGGCAGGAGCUAGUGAGUGGAAGACAAUCUGCUUCGAGU
Molecule: small nucleolar RNA, 138 nt
Organism: Ornithorhynchus anatinus (platypus)
Lineage: Eukaryota; Metazoa; Chordata; Mammalia; Monotremata; Ornithorhynchidae
Source: RefSeq, a predicted model, not a curated record